GUGCCAGCCGCGGCGGUAAUACGGAGGGAGCUAGCGUUGUUCGGAAUUACUGGGCGUAAAGCGCACGUAGGCGGCUUUUCAAGUCAGGGGUGAAAUCCCGGGGCUCAACCCGGAACUGCCCUUGAAACUGGAUGGCUAGAAUCUUGGAGAGGCGAGUGGAAUUCCGAGUGUAGAGGUGAAAUUCGUAGAUAUUCGGAAGAACACCAGUGGCGAAGGCGACUCGCUGGACAAGUAUUGACGCUGAGGUGCGAAAGCGUGGGAGCAAACAGGAUUAGAUACCCUGGUAGUCCACGCCGUAAAACGAUGAUAACUAGCUGUCCGGGCACAUGGUGCUUGGGUGGCGCA
RNAcentral lists this ribosomal RNA (345 nucleotides) under uncultured Altererythrobacter sp. RNAcentral describes it as "bacterial SSU rRNA". It matches the Rfam family "Bacterial small subunit ribosomal RNA", at positions 505 to 850 of the family's 1533-position model. The record is from RNAcentral. Lineage: Bacteria; Pseudomonadati; Pseudomonadota; Alphaproteobacteria; Sphingomonadales; Erythrobacteraceae.